This 2328-nucleotide ribosomal RNA is filed under the name Triticum aestivum (bread wheat). RNAcentral describes it as "partial small subunit ribosomal RNA". Lineage: Eukaryota; Viridiplantae; Streptophyta; Magnoliopsida; Poales; Poaceae. The record is from RNAcentral.
AUGAAUAGUUACCGCCCCCUCCCGGUCUCUCUCACUUCACGUACUCGUUCCGGUCUCGCUGACGUGUGGGGUCGCUCGCAUGUGGGCCGCGUUUGUCAGCGGCUGUGCCCGGAGAAGCGUCUCGUGUACGUGUUUUGCUGUCAAAAUAUCAUGCCACCGCCAGUAAUUUCGCCACCCCGCCGAGGGCAUUUGUGCAAAUUUGCGUGCGUGUCCGUGAGUGGCGUCGUGUGGGUGGUUGAAUUUGGCGUAAGAGUGGGGAGGGCCCCCGAUUGGGUAGGAACCCUAGCCCAUUCUCCCCGCCGCGCCCCUCUCCCCUUCUCUACCGCCGCCGCCGCCGCCAGCGCAGGCCGCGGACACGACGAGGAGGCGGCCGGCAUCACCGCGCGCCGCCCGGCCAAGGUCUUCUCCCGCGUGCGCCACCUCCUCGCCAAACCUUUCCCCUACGCGCGGCCCUCGCCGACUUGCUCUUCCUCGGCGGGGAGCAGCAGUAGCAGGCGGAGGCGCUGUGCUCGCGGAGGGGCUGCAGAUCCCCGCCGAGCAGGCCGCGCUGGUGCUCGCCGCCGUGCUCCCCGGCGACGACGACGAACCCGCAACGGAAGGAGCUGGCGCCUCCCCGCCCCCAUCUAUCCACUCCGUCCAGGAGACGAGAGGAAGGAGAAGCCAUGCCCCGUCCACUGCGUCGUGCGCGACGACCGGCUGGGCUCUGUUUCAGCACCCCAAUGCUUGUCGGCGCUUCUUCGACGACCACCCAGGCACGCCAUCGCCUCUCUUCGACCCCAACGGAAGGGACGACUAAUUAAUCUGUCCAGAUCCGAGGCAAGUGAGGCCUUGCUUCACCCCUCUCCCCUUCAAGAAGGAUGUGCCCUUCCUCUGCUCGUUGUUGCUGCCGUCUUUGAUGUCUUCAGACAUAUGGUAGUGAUGUACCAGUCAUGGGUGUCUGGCUUUGGUUUUCUUUCAGUUUUUCGGAUGGGUUACAAAAGCAUGCAGAUAAUGAGAGUUGAAAUUCUGAAUCUUUGCGCCUUUGGAUUAUACUCUGUUUGCAACAAGCUGGGUGCGAAGUAUGCUUCUGUUCCAGUUGUCGAGCUGAAGGAUCACCCAGAUUUAUGUGAAGAUCUUCUGAGAAAGAGCAAAUGGCAUAUUGCACAAGAGCAUGAGGUGUUUGCACCAAUUGCUUUCUUCACACCACGGCCAUGGCUUUGCACCUAUUCUAACUCUGGCAAGUACCCGGUGAUAUAUGAAGCCACCAGCUCUUGUGAUGUACCAUAUUGUUGGGACCGGCACCCUCGCGCCAAGGCGCGCUGCCGAUCUAGUAAUCACUAUGAUGAGCUCCGCUCCCGGCCCCUAGUUACACCAGCAGGGCUCGCCUCAUUCAGCCAGACCACGCUACUACGGGCAACUCAUCUCACUUUGUCUCCCCACGUUCAACUCAACCAACCUUGUUGCCCCUUCUCCUCUCUAUCAUUGGAAAAGUAUCAGGUGCUCCCAAGUUUAGGACACAGCUCAACAAGCCCUAAGAACAAAAGGACACACAAAAACACCGCCACGGACGAGUCCAACCUAAUCAGGCUCCGGCGGCGGUGGCGGAAGCGGGGGCGCCAUGCGGAAGGCCAUCGAUCGAAGGUCGGUGAGGAGGGUGUCGAUGACGCUCCGGUCCUGGGGGCGGCUAAGCGGCCGCCAAAGCUGCAAAUAGCCACACAUUUUGAAGAUCGCGUCGGGGAAGUUGGUAUUGCACCAUUGUCCGCCGACCGUUUCACGGAAGCACGACCACAGGAACUAGGCAGUGGAGCAGUUGAAGAAAAUAUGGUUCGAAUCCUCAACCGUGGCGCACAGGGGACACAUCCCGUCCCCAGGUCCAUUACGCUUGCGGACUUCAACCCGAGAGGGGAGACGUUCCCGGGUCCACUGCUAGAGGAAAAUCCAGAUCUUGAGGGGGAGGCGAAUGUCCCAGAUCAGGCUAAAGGGCUCAGGGGCCGGCGAAGGGGCGAUGGCGGCGUACAGGGACUUUGUGGAGAGUGCCCCGAGGGCUCCAGGCGCCACGCCAUUGAGUCAUCGGCGCCCUCUACAUCCAUCGGCAAGAGAGCGAUGUCCUGUAGAAGGGCGUCCCACGCGUCAACCUCCUGGGGGCCAAAGGUGCGCCUAAAGGCGAGACGCCCUAAGUCAAUAAGGGCCGUCUCGACGGAAAUCCUGGGGUCAACCGCAAUGGCGAAUAAUCCCGGGAAGCGGGCGGCCAGAGGGGAGUCCUCAAGUCAGCGGUCGAACCAAAACAGGGUCGAGGACCCGGAACCCACCGAGAUAGAAGUGCCAAUUCGGCGCACGGGGAGCAGCUGA